This 250-nucleotide ribosomal RNA is filed under the name uncultured prokaryote. Its description in RNAcentral is "partial 16S ribosomal RNA". It matches the Rfam family "Bacterial small subunit ribosomal RNA", at positions 524 to 772 of the family's 1533-position model. The record is from RNAcentral.
UACGUAUGGAGCAAGCGUUAUCCGGAAUUAUUGGGUGCAAAGAGUGCGUAGACGGGAAAUUAAGUUGGUAUGUGAAAUCCCUCGGCUUAACUGAGGAACUGCAACCAAAACUGAUUUUCUUGAGUGCUGGGGAGGAAAGUGGAAUUCCUAGUGUAGCGGUGAAAUGCGUAGAUAUUAGGAGGAACACCGGUGGCGAAGGCGACUUUCUGGACAGUAACUGACGUUGAGGCACGAAAGCGUGGGGAGCAAA